UAGGCGGAAAGGUUUAGUGUUACCCUUUCCGCCACUUCUGUAACUUGUAACA
Molecule: non-coding RNA, 52 nt
Filed under: unclassified sequences
Description: ssNA-helicase RNA
Rfam family: ssNA-helicase RNA
About the family: Firmicutes, Actinobacteria (1 example). Downstream gene
Source: Rfam by way of RNAcentral